RNAcentral lists this long non-coding RNA (310 nucleotides) under Solanum tuberosum (potato). RNAcentral describes it as "long non-coding RNA (STUB_LNC002722)". Lineage: Eukaryota; Viridiplantae; Streptophyta; Magnoliopsida; Solanales; Solanaceae. The record is from RNAcentral.
CCUCGGGUUAACAUCCUAAAACUUAAUAGUGAUGUUUUAGGAUGGCCACUAACAUCAAUUACGAUCAAACAAGUGAAAGACAGUAACAUCCAUUACGAUCCCCCCUUAGAAUUAUUCGCCAAUAAGGCCUUUUUAUCUAUUUGGUAAAGAUUAGAUCUUGCAUUGAUAACCAAAAGAAAAGGAACUAUCUGUACAGAUUCAAUUACUACUAACACCUUCUAAGGAGUACCAAUAAACUGUUGGAGUGCUAGGUUCCAGUGCCACUUCUUCCUUGUUUGGCUUAUUCUGGUAUAUAUAUAUACAAAACUCC